RNAcentral lists this unclassified non-coding RNA (275 nucleotides) under fungal sp. RNAcentral's name for it is "partial internal transcribed spacer region". The stretch from base 1 to 46 matches the Rfam family "Eukaryotic small subunit ribosomal RNA", at positions 1786 to 1831 of the family's 1831-position model. Lineage: Eukaryota; Fungi. The record is from RNAcentral.
AAGUCGUAACAAGGUUUCCGUAGGUGAACCUGCGGAAGGAUCAUUACCAAACGUGACACUCUGUGUUGCUUACACUUCCGAGCAGGCGUGGGGUGUCCCCACGCCAGGGCCGUGCUGCUCGCAGCCCGCGCCAGCGCCGUCCCCUGCUCUCCUCACCGGGAGCAGAAGCUCAGUCCCUCGUGGACGAAAGGACGGACCGGUGCUUUCGCAUCAACCCUGUGCUUGAAAAGGAACAACAACAGCAGUACAACUGCAAACGGUGGAUCACUCGGCUC